This 392-nucleotide ribosomal RNA is filed under the name uncultured bacterium. RNAcentral's name for it is "partial 16S ribosomal RNA". It matches the Rfam family "Bacterial small subunit ribosomal RNA", at positions 523 to 918 of the family's 1533-position model. The record is from RNAcentral.
AUACGUAGGGGGCGAGCGUUGUCCGGAUUUAUUGGGCGUAAAGGGUGCGUAGGCGGCCUUGUAAGUCAGAUGUGAAAGAUCAUGGCUUAACUGUGGUAAGCAUUUGAAACUGCAGGGCUUGAGUACAGGAGAGGAGAGUGGAAUUCCUAGUGUAGCGGUGAAAUGCGUAGAUAUUAGGAGGAAUACCAGUGGCGAAGGCGACUCUCUGGACUGAUACUGACGCUGAGGCACGAAAGCGUGGGGAGCAAACAGGAUUAGAUACCCUGGUAGUCCACGCCAUAAACGAUGAGUGCUAGGUGUCGGGGGUCAAACCUCGGUGCCGCAGUUAACACAUUAAGCACUCCGCCUGGGGAGUACGGUCGCAAGACUGAAACUCAAAUGAAUUGACGGGG